Cinara cedri is the source of this 202-nucleotide non-coding RNA. The record is from the annotation of a GenBank genome assembly. NCBI's taxonomy places the organism in Eukaryota, Metazoa, Arthropoda, Insecta, Hemiptera, Aphididae.
AAAAUGCCUUUAUCGUGUGUUCACGAUAUGAAUUAUCACCUGAUACAUGGACGAUCUUGGACUAAAAUGGAUUAUUCAAGAGUUGAUAGAGAUGAGUACCAAGAUACAGAUUUUUAAGACUUUUGGUACACGUUCGCGCAGUACAACUUACUUUUUUAAACGAUAACUCCAAUUUUUUCCACAUAUUGGGGUAAAGUUAUUC